RNAcentral lists this long non-coding RNA (208 nucleotides) under Elaeis guineensis (African oil palm). Its description in RNAcentral is "long non-coding RNA (EGUI_LNC012426)". The record is from RNAcentral. Lineage: Eukaryota; Viridiplantae; Streptophyta; Magnoliopsida; Arecales; Arecaceae.
AUGGGUGGUUAGGUUGGCUGACCAAAGUCGGACCUGAUCAUUUAUUGGUUAGAUGAGCUGAGCAUAUUCAUGUUAAUAGUUCGAUCUAACCAAGACUUUCAGUGGAGGCCCUAGCCUACUGAAAUGAGACCUGAGAUAAAAUUAAUUAUUAAAAAUUAUUUAAAAAAAUAAUUAGUUAAGAACCUAUCCAUAGAUGCACAGGAUUGGC